GCGCGGGGUCGCGGGUAGGGGUGUGGGCUGAUGGUGGUGCCACCGAUAUUCAUGCGCUUCGUGUGUUGUGUAAACUUGACGACUGUGACUGUGCGGUGUAAGGACCUCACCCGAGGGAACUACCCGCGCCGGUCACUGCAGACUGAAAACUGAACAAGUGACACAUUACAUACUCACAAUUACUGACGAAAAUUUACGGCCUAUUUAUUCUGGAUUGAACAAAACCACCAAAAAAUAUAUCUUUUUGUAUCUUCA
This is a long non-coding RNA of Trichoplusia ni (cabbage looper), 255 nucleotides long. RefSeq lists it as uncharacterized. The record is from RefSeq and is a predicted model, not a curated record. The transcript is spliced from 2 exons. Lineage: Eukaryota; Metazoa; Arthropoda; Insecta; Lepidoptera; Noctuidae.